CCACCCAAACUCUUGAGAGAGGAUCUGGGAGCGCACCUUAGGAUCAUCACGUGGGCCAAUGCGGCCAUCAUCAAUUGCCUCAGCAAGACCCUCCUCCAGGGGGCGCGCUUCCAUGUACAGACGGUUGUGCUUGUUAGGUGACUUGCUCAUGACAGUGCGGCAGGACUUCUCAAGAACGGUUUCACGGAAGGACACAACAGGAGGAGAAACAAUAAUUUCAGCACCUCCCAUGAAGUCCUCUUGCAGAUCCUUCAGGCAAAUCUCAAGAUGAAGCUCACCAGCUCCAGCAAUGAUAUGCUCACCAGAUUCUUCCAUUGUACACAGAAC
RNAcentral lists this long non-coding RNA (327 nucleotides) under Zea mays. RNAcentral's name for it is "long non-coding RNA (ZMAY_LNC005165)". The record is from RNAcentral. Lineage: Eukaryota; Viridiplantae; Streptophyta; Magnoliopsida; Poales; Poaceae.